AAGCGUUUGCGACCAGACCUUUUCUAGGCGGAUCAUCCGGUGUUCUCACCGGUGCACUUCGCCUGGUUUAGGCCAGCAUCGGUUUUUGUAGGGGGAUAAAGGCCUGGGGAAUGUAGCUCCUCCGGGAGUGUUAUAGCCCCUCGCGUAAUACCUUUACGGGGACCGAGGACCGCGCUUCGGCAAGGAUGCUGGCAUAAUGGUUGUCAGCGA
Molecule: ribosomal RNA, 210 nt
Filed under: Xylariaceae sp.
Lineage: Eukaryota; Fungi; Ascomycota; Sordariomycetes; Xylariales; Xylariaceae
Description: partial large subunit ribosomal RNA
Source: RNAcentral